CAGCGUGGGGGCUCUGUGGCCAGUGUAGGGGCUCUGUAGUCAGCAUGGAGGCUCUGCGGUCAGUGUGGGGGCUCUGUGGUCAGUGUGGGGGUUCUGUGGUCAGCAUGGAGGCUCUGUGGUCAGCGUGGAGGCUCUGCGGUCAGUGUAACAGCUCUGUGGUCAGUGUGGGGGCUCUGUGGUCAGUGUAGAGGUUCCACAGUCAGUGUGGGGGCUCUGUGGUCAGUAUGGGGGCUCUGUGGUCAGUGUAGCAGCUCUGUGGUCAGUGUAGGGGCUCUGUGGUCAGCAUGGAGGCUCUGUGGUCAGUGUAGGGGCUCUGUGGUCAGUGUGGGGGCUCUGUGGUCAGCAUGGAGGCUCUGUGGUCAGUGUGGGGGCUCUGUGGUCAGUGUGGGGGCUCUGUGGUCAGCAUGGGGGCUCUGUGGUAGGGUCAGAAGGCAGAGAUGCAACCUUGCGCAGGGUGGGGGCAGAUGCCCCAAGAGCCACAGAGGGCACAGGCCAAGGACAUGGGUCGGUGACAGAGCGCAGCGUCUCAUUCAAGGGACCACAGGAUCAACAGUGGCAAGGGCCCCCCGGUGCAGCAGCCCUGGUUCACGUCUUGGCCCCACAUUCAGCAUCCGUGUGUCCUUCAGUGGCUGGGCCCUGCUUGGCAAAGCCGGGGUACAGCAUCCUCCUUGGGGUGUGCUGACCUCUCCCAGGUGCACUGCUCUGAGGACGUCUGCGGCACAGUCUGAGGAUGCCACCCAAAACUCACCCGACUUCUCUGAGUGCUUCGAUCCCAACGGCCCCGGGAUCUGUGGGGUCUGCGGGGUCUGCAUCGGCAGUGCGCCCGAAUCCGCUGUCCUCGGGAGAAGCGCAGGGGCUAUGCUGCCUCCCUCAUCCUCCUCCCGACAGCUCAGCCCCGCGCAUUCACCUGGCCCGUGCCGCGUUUCACGGAGCAGGAGUGAUCUGGCCAUGGUUUAUGGUGCAGGGGGUGGAGGGUGGGGGUUCUUCACCCCCACAUAAACGCUGAGUCACCUC
Molecule: long non-coding RNA, 1014 nt
Filed under: Oryctolagus cuniculus (rabbit)
Lineage: Eukaryota; Metazoa; Chordata; Mammalia; Lagomorpha; Leporidae
Description: lncRNA (ENSOCUG00000031013.1)
Source: RNAcentral